This is a long non-coding RNA of Bos taurus (domestic cattle), 537 nucleotides long. The record is from Ensembl. NCBI's taxonomy places the organism in Eukaryota, Metazoa, Chordata, Mammalia, Artiodactyla, Bovidae.
ACAGACUUCCUGCUGGAAGGAGCCCGCUGCUACUACCCAGCCAGACUGGCUCCCUACGCGGUGCGCGGCCCGAGAUCAGGGCCAGCUUUCACCCCCAGCUCUGCUCCGGAGCCGGCCUUAAGAGAAGUGGGUCACGGAGCUACAAAUGGAUGGAGCUUUUGCUCAAGGUCACCCAGCUGCUAAGUGUCAAGGCAGCAACUGGGUCACGCCCUCCAGCCUUUACCAGUGGACAGACAGUCAGGCCUCCGUGUUGAUGAGCAUCUCCACCUUCACACCUGGCCAGUCCCUGUGCCUGAGACCCACAGAACCCAGCCCAGCCCAAGCUGGCAGGAGAGGAGCCUGCCCUCCUCCCCGGGACACUGCCACCACCACCAACACCCCCUCCUUUCUAGGCAUCUUCUGGGAGGGGCCGGUGGGUUUGAGCGGAAGCAGAGCCAGCACAGUGGACACCGCUACUCUGAGCAUCUGUUGGCUGCAGAGGCCAGGGUUUCUCCCAGGUCACCUGUCAGUAUCACAGGGUUUCCUCCAGGACCUCAU